CUCUUUAUAAGUCAGUAGGUUCAGGUGUUUGUUAGAGUAAAGAGAAGAUGAACAAAAGAUAGCAGAUAAUGGAAGGAUUGGAUAAAAAGCUGAUGAGCCUCAAAGAUUCACCAUGUUUUCUUUUUAUGAUGGCCUCAGUUGAGGAGACUUCGACUUUGCUGCUGUUUUGUUCCUGUGUCAAUCAUAGUCAUGGCUGUAGUACACUGCAGCUUUUACACACUUGCUUAAUAAAUUAGCAUUCUGUCCUGAUUGAAUCAUUGGGUGGAAACAUCAAAUUUACAUGUCAAGUAGAAGAGAGAAGAAGGGAGGAACUCAGAACAUUGAGAAGAAAAGGCAACAACUUCAGUGUAUUACAGUCGGCUGGGGAAACAAAAAGAAUUUUCAUUUUCAUUCUAAAUCAAGGAUUGGUGAAUAGGAAUAAUCCAAGUGGAUGGAGAAAGCCUUCGCUCUUUUUGUAGGGCACUAACCUGUUAAGAAGUUUAGAAGGCCAAUGGCUGUCCAUUUGCCACAAGGAUCGUUGGAAAGACCUUUCAGUCAGCUUGACAUUUUUUGCAUCUGAAUAAAAGAAGCUUUAUGCCUGAAGGAUCCAUCAUUCUCAGGGGUAUUGGGAUGAGAAAAUGACAUAACAGAUGUGAACACAUUUCGAAAAUAAAGGCAAUAUAUAAAUGUGA
Long non-coding RNA from Rattus norvegicus (Norway rat), 671 nucleotides. RefSeq lists it as uncharacterized. Lineage: Eukaryota; Metazoa; Chordata; Mammalia; Rodentia; Muridae. The record is from RefSeq and is a predicted model, not a curated record.